UCCUCUUUAGCUCAGUUGGUUAGAGCAUCUGACUGUUAAUCAGAGGGUCCAAGGUUCGAGUCCUUGAAGAGGAGCUA
RNAcentral lists this transfer RNA (77 nucleotides) under Polaribacter sp. SA4-10. RNAcentral's name for it is "tRNA-Asn". It matches the Rfam family "tRNA". Rfam says of the family: Transfer RNA (tRNA) molecules are approximately 80 nucleotides in length. Lineage: Bacteria; Pseudomonadati; Bacteroidota; Flavobacteriia; Flavobacteriales; Flavobacteriaceae. RNAcentral also lists the same sequence under 2 other names. The record is from RNAcentral.